RNAcentral lists this transfer RNA (71 nucleotides) under Cordylochernes scorpioides. RNAcentral's name for it is "tRNA-Gly". It matches the Rfam family "tRNA". From Rfam's summary of the family: Transfer RNA (tRNA) molecules are approximately 80 nucleotides in length. Their secondary structure includes four short double-helical elements and three loops (D, anti-codon, and T loops). The record is from RNAcentral. Lineage: Eukaryota; Metazoa; Arthropoda; Arachnida; Pseudoscorpiones; Chernetidae.
CCAUGGGUGGUUCAGUGGUAGAAUACUCGCCUGCCACGCGGGCGGCCCGGGUUCGAUUCCCAGCCGAUGCA